RNA transcript from Macadamia integrifolia, 4870 nucleotides. It is a transcript of the gene named protein FAR1-RELATED SEQUENCE 6-like, with no coding region annotated. The record is from RefSeq and is a predicted model, not a curated record. NCBI's taxonomy places the organism in Eukaryota, Viridiplantae, Streptophyta, Magnoliopsida, Proteales, Proteaceae. The transcript is spliced from 6 exons.
GUGCUGCGGACAAUUUUCGCACCAUGGUCCUCACGCUUUCGAGUUUUUUUUUUUUUUUCUCGCCUUCUUUGUGGCUCGGCAAAUUUCUCUCCUUCACGGAGAUGGCAUCUCCUUGACGAAAAAGCAGUUUUUUCAUCUACUCCGAUCAGUAUCAGGUAGAUUGAUUACUUUUGAAGUUCAUUUGCUAGCAUUUGCCUCGAAUGGGAGAAAUCUGUCUCAAUAGUGAGCCAUUGGCUGAAGAUGGAGCAGAUAAGCCAGAUGCGGAGGAAACAGAUUGUGGAAACUCGGAGUCCACAGGUGAAAACCAUGUGAGGAAGGAGGAGCCUGUGCCACCAGGUUUAGGGAUGGAGUUUGAGUCAUUUGAAGAUGCCUAUGAAUUUUAUAAUAAGUAUGCUGAAAAAGUGGGAUUUGGGAUUAGAAUAAGAAGUUCUUAUUUUAAGAAACAGAGUAAAGAGAAGUAUGCUGCAGUUCUUUGUUGUAGUUGUGAGGGUUUUAAAAGAUCACUACAGUCUCACAAUAAAAGACCAGAAGUAAGGACUGGUUGUCAAGCAAUGGUGAGGAUCAAAUUGAGGGAGUCCAAGGGAUGGCAAGUGAUUGAAGUUAAGCUUGAGCAUAAUCAUGUGACUAAUCCAGCAGGUUCACAAUUCUACAGAUCACAUAAGAGUGCUGGUUCUGGAACUAAAGGAAAAUUGCAAUUGACUUGUGAUGCUGGAAUACAUACAUGUAAGUAUCAGUCAAUUAAUGGCAAAGAUGUUAGUGUAGUUCAAUGCAAGUGCUCAAAGCUUGAAAAAGGAGAUGCACAAGCUGUUUAUGAAUUCCUUUGCCGCAUGCAGCAAAAAAGUCCCAACUUCUUUUAUUUGAUGGAUCUUGAUGAAGAUGGACGGUUGGGAAAUGUGUUUUGGGCUGAUGCAAGGUGUAGGGCUGCAUGUGAAUACUUUGGGGAUGUUGUUGCAUUUGAUACAACAUAUCUGACACACAAAUAUGAUUUGCCAUUUGCGCCAUUUGUUGGAGUAAAUAACCAUGGGCAGUAUGUGCUGUUGGGUUGUGGUUUACUUCUAGAUAAAACAUCUGAGUCAUUUAUAUGGUUAUUCAAGGCAUGGCUUGCAUGUAUGUCAGGUCGCAUUCCUAAUGCUAUAAUAACUGAUCAAUGUAAAGUUUUAAAAAAGGCAGUUAUGGAAGUAUUCCCUGGAGCCUGUCACCGACUGUGUUUAUGGCACAUCAUGCAAAAAGUUCCAGAAAAAUUGCAAAAUUUGCGUGAAUAUAGAGCAGUUAAAAGGGCAAUGGAGAGAGCAGUCUAUGAUUCGUGGAGAGUGGAUGAGUUUGAAUUAGCUUGGGAGGACAUGAUUCAGCAAAAUGGAGUUGGGGAUAAUGAAUGGCUUCAAACAUUGUAUGAAUAUCGACAUCAGUGGGUGCCAGCUUUUCUCAAGGGCACAAGUUUUGCAGGAAUGUCAACCACCCAAAGAAGUGAAAGCAUAAAUUCAUAUUUUGAUGGAUUUGUGCAUGCAAGAACCUCGCUCAAGGAGUUCCUUGAUAAUUAUGAGCUUGCUUUAGAGAAGAGGCGUUCUGAAGAAUUCCAGGCAGAUCUUUCAUCAAUCCACUCAAAGCCUGUGUUGAAGACAAGAAGUUACUAUGAAAAACAACUCUCUGAAGUGUACACAAUGAAUAUGUUCAAGAAAUUCCAAAAUGAGGUGGAAGAGAUGCUUUCGUGUUUUAACACGACACAAGUACAUGUUGAUGGGCCAGUCAUAACUUAUACUGUCAAGGAACGUGCUGAGGGAAAUGAGAGUGAGAUCAAGGAUUAUGAAGUUCUUUACAAUACCGUUGAAGUGGAGGUUCAUUGCAUUUGCAAUCAAUUUAACUUUAAAGGGUACUUAUGUAGACAUGCACUUAGUGUCCUCCACUAUAAUGGAAUUGAAGAAAUCCCGUCUCGAUACAUUUUGCCACGUUGGAGGAAGGAUUUUAAAUGCAUUUAUGUACUGGAAAAUAGCGCAAAUGAUGUUGAUGUUGAUGACCCAGUGACAUGGUAUGAUCAAUUGUACAAACGUGCUAUCCAAGUUGUGGAGGGAGGGGUGAUAUCUCAAGAACAUUUCAAGGUUGCUUUGCAAGCACUAGAAGAGUCAUUGAGUAAAGUUUAUGAUAUAAGGGCUUUUGGCUCAAAAAAGGCAUCCACUGUAGCACAACGUAAUCCAACAAAAAGUGAUAAUGCAAAAGAACCUUCACAAGUAAAGCGACGAGGUCGGCCGAAACAAAAUGGAUCCCAAUGUCUCACAGAUAAGGGAAGAAGUACUGAAAGAGCACCAGAGGUUGACAACCAACGUGCAGAAUCCAAUUUUCAAGUACAACCAAAUCUUGGCAACCCUAUUAGUACACCAGAGAGUAUAUAUCAACCAGAUUUGGUUGGGUUGCCUUGGGUUAUAGGUUUGGUUUUCAUGGUUUCCAUGUUUCAGGUUGCAGGUUUCAUGGUUCCAGGUGGUUUAAUGUCAUUUUCUGGUGAUCCCUCUCUCUCUCUGCAUUUCCCAGCAACUCUCUACCCAGCAUAGUGGAAGCCCUUCCAGGGACAAUUUUCACUAUCCAGCCAACUAUCCCUGGUCCACUUGAUCUCAUGGCCAGAUUUCUUGGUUGUGGUGGAAUAAUCUCUGAAAUCUGAUUGUUAUAUGGAAUUGAGUGAACCUGUAUUAUGAUAUUGAACAUUCUUAGAGAAUUUGAAAUGUGGAUGAAGGAAUCCUUAAUGGUGGAAGCACAGAUCAUUGGCCAUUCAUGAUUCUGCUUUUUGGGUCCUCCAUGGAAGUCUAACAAGCGCAUCUUCAAGAGCUGGUGAUACUCAAGUAUGGGGCUAACAUGGACUUAUGGAGAGGUAACAAUAUGUUUGUUAUCCAACAAUGUUGUGUUUCAAUUCUUCAUCUACAAUUGUAAGCACACUUAACAUUCCCACAUCAUUGCCUCCUGGAACCUUCAGGUUGACUUUAUCCAACCCACUUGAUGGCAUUCUGAUUUUGGCUCUCCCCCCCUUUUUUUCCAGCUUUGAUGGCAAUUUAGUCUUUUGUAUUUGUUUUAGUUUGAUUGUUUGCUAAUUUUGCUUUGUGCUUGGCCGAAGCCUUUGCUUGUUGGCUUCGGCCUCCCCUCCCCCUCUCUCCCUUGUAUAUUCUUCUCCUCUUGGUAAUGAAUUAUUUAUUCAUCCAAAAAAAAAAAAACAUUCACAUAUUUUAGGCUUGAGUCUUGAAAUUGCAAUAAACCCUGAAAGAAUGUUUAAUACAGUACCUCUUAAUCUUAUCUAAUGCAUCUAACUUCCCACUGGCUAACAUGGAAUCUGAGCAGCAUGAAAGCACCACUCCGAGGGCCACUCGUUAUUGGGUUCACAACACCUAAACAAAGAGCAGCUGUCGUGGAUGCAUCUACUGCAGUACCUCUUUCAUGCAGUACAUCCUGCCAAGUCAGGAGCACUUGACAAUAUGUGGUGCCGUAAGUAGUUCAUAUAUGUGCUUUGUGAGACUAACUGUUAAUCAUGAACUGGAAGAUAGUAAGGUAAUGAUUGCCCCACCACCAAGGGAGCUGCAAAAUUCACCAAUAGUUUAAGCUAACCAUUCAAAUGAUCAACAGUUACAGAUUUAUGGAGACUGGAUCCAUCAUACAGAAUUAUAAAGUGAUCACUAUAUCAAAGGCAUGAUUAAGACAUUGCUAGAGAACUGAACUCUGUACCAUAUUGCAACAAUUUAUAAUUGAAAAUUUUCUCAUUCAUUGUGAAUGUCAGGCUAUGUAGAAGAAUAGGAUGUUACAAAUGGUUCAUGUUGUGAUGAUCUAUGGCCAAGAGUCGACAGACCCCAAUAAUUUACAUGCAGUAUUGUCAGCUUCCUUCAUAAACAAAUCUGGUUGGAGAAACGAAUAAAAACUUGUAAAUGUGGAAGAACUUUUUACAUUAGUACCACAAGUUGCAAUGACAGGCCACAACUCAUCAUAAUUUUGCCCAAGGGUGUUAAAUGGCUUCCUUGGGUCUGCAUCAGGUAUCCUAUAUGCAAUCAAUACAAGUACAAAAGAAAUUUUGUUUGGUUUCGGUAAUUGUGAAACAAGAGUACUGGCUGGAACUUACUGUGUAUCAGUGCACUUUUGCUUUUGGUAAUCUUCCAAUUUACUAUAUCUUUACUAAGUGCAGUUCAGUUGUGAUGAAGAUGGAGAAACUUUCAGAAAGAUUUUUUAUGGCAAGGAGAAGUCCAAGGAGGAAAAUAUUUCAAUUGGUAGCAUUGGAUGAAAGUAUGGAGUUGUUUUGCCUAUUGCAGAACCCAAGAAAGUGGACUGCUCUUAUCCACUGAGGUUUUUGAAAUACAUGAAAAAUCUACAAGAGAAGUUUCUUAAUAGUUUGAGGUGGGUGAUGGAACAACAACAAAAGAAUUUGAAUGUGGGAGAUGAUUUUUGCGGCAAAAGAUUUCUGUGUGAUGGAAUGCGUUAUGUUUGGAGAUUCUGGUUGGGAGUGGAGCCUAUUUUUUAAUGUUUAAAAGGCUAGGUUAUAUGGAGCUGCAGGUGCAGGAGUAUUUUUUUCCCCAUUGCAGGUACUGGAGAAACAGCAGGUCUGAGUGAGAUUGUUGCGGCCCUUGGGUGAGUUAUAUUGUGAAAUCACUUUACCUAGACUUGGCUACUGCUGGUUUACAGGUUCUGUUCAAGAAUAUCUAGGAAAACUUAUUGCACCUCGAAUUAGAGUUGUUUUAUGUAAGGGAAGAGUUUUUCCUGGAGGACAAAUAUUAGCCACAAAGCAAUUUAUAUGGGGAUAAAUUUCUUUUGGAUAUAUAUGGGAAGCUAUAUGAUUGAAUUCUAAUAUGAAAUGAUCAAUCCAUAAAAAUCAUUCUUGGAUAUCCAUGGAUGGUAAUUAUGGUUCGAGGAA